AGAUUGAACGCUGGCGGCAGGCCUAACACAUGCAAGUCGAGCGGUAGAGAGGUGCUUGCAUCUCUUGAGAGCGGCGGACGGGUGAGUAAUGCCUAGGAAUCUGCCUAGUGGUGGGGGAUAACGUUCGGAAACGGACGCUAAUACCGCAUACGUCCUACGGGAGAAAGCGGGGGACCUUCGGGCCUCGCGCCAUUAGAUGAGCCGAUGUCGGAUUAGCUAGUUGGUGAGGUAAUGGCUCACCGAAGGCGACGAUCCGUAGCUGGUCUGAGAGGAUGAUCAGCCACACUGGAACUGAGACACGGUCCAG
This 307-nucleotide ribosomal RNA is filed under the name uncultured soil bacterium. RNAcentral's name for it is "bacterial SSU rRNA". It matches the Rfam family "Bacterial small subunit ribosomal RNA", at positions 26 to 334 of the family's 1533-position model. The record is from RNAcentral.